RNAcentral lists this long non-coding RNA (886 nucleotides) under Marmota monax (woodchuck). Lineage: Eukaryota; Metazoa; Chordata; Mammalia; Rodentia; Sciuridae. The record is from RNAcentral.
GGAAGAUGAAGGGGAGGCAGGGACCCCGAGGAAGUCCACUUUACCUAGACUGUAUGCACUUCCUAUAAUUAGGGAGCAUUCCUGGAAUGUGCAAAGUGGCUUCUUGGGAAAGUGACCCUGACAGGCCACCCUCUCAUGUUAGGUACUUCAACUACUACUUUAUAGAUUAUGAAACAAAUAAUUUGCUCACACCUCACUGCUGAUAGUGUUAGAGCAGAUAAGAAACCAGAGUCUGGCUCAAAAGCUCUUCUUCUUAGAACACCCUGACGAGAAGGCAGUUUGGUGGUAGCGGUAGGGCUGAGUCACUGGGUUGCUGGAAUAUUCUCUGAGACCUUCACUUAGGGAGAGACUGUUCAGAUGCUAAUCAUGGAUAUGGGAGAGGCACUUGCUGAGUGCCUUAUGCGUAUGCACUGUGUACUGUGUUCUCCUUUUUGUCUUCCUUAAUGCUAAGGCUGACUUGGGCACAACAGUGGAGAUGUACUCAACACAGCACCUUGACAGAAUGGAGAGACACCAAGAUAAAGAAGCCACAUUUUGGGCAGGUGGGAAGUGAUCUCAGUCCUUAAGUGUCUGGAGAUUAUUGCUGUAUUUCCACAAGUACCUUAUUUAAAAACAUCUGGUCAUAUAUAGGUCUGGGGUGAGGCGGUUGGUGCUUGAGGAAGAAUCACCUAUGAAGGUGGUUACCAACUUCUUAACUUUCUUAAAUAAUGUUGUAUGAGUUACCUGUGAAGUCCUGGCACCCAUGACUUUAUCUUCUACUCAGUAUAGGCAGAACUUUUCAAGAAAUCCUCUCCCAUACUUUCUUUUCAUUGAAUCCAUAUUUUCAUCUUUAGAAGUGCUGGGCUACCUCCUUUCUUUCCCACCAAGAGGAUAUAUUAUAUUGCUG